Neltuma alba is the source of this 347-nucleotide long non-coding RNA. RefSeq lists it as uncharacterized. Lineage: Eukaryota; Viridiplantae; Streptophyta; Magnoliopsida; Fabales; Fabaceae. The record is from RefSeq and is a predicted model, not a curated record. The transcript has 3 exons.
CUCCUGCUCCAGACAAUUGGAGGUGCCCUGAAUGUGUUAGCCCACUUAAUGAUAUUGAUAAGAUAUUAGACUGUGAGAUGCGCCCUACUGUAGCUGAUGACAGUGAUGCCACAAAACUGGGGUCAAAACAAAUUUUUGUCAAACAAUAUCUUGUUAAGUGGAAGGGGCUAUCAUAUCUCCAUUGCACAUGGGUGCCAGAAAAGGAGUUUCUGAAAGCCUUCAAAUUACAUCCUCGCCUAAAGACGAAAGUAAAUAACUUCCAUCGUCAAAUGUCAUCAGUUAAUACUUCUGAUGAAGACUAUGUUGCCAUUCGACCUGACUGGACAACUAUUGAUCGGAUUAUUGCU